Molecule: transfer RNA, 72 nt
Filed under: Camelus bactrianus (Bactrian camel)
Lineage: Eukaryota; Metazoa; Chordata; Mammalia; Artiodactyla; Camelidae
Also listed under: 1 other name
Rfam family: tRNA
About the family: Transfer RNA (tRNA) molecules are approximately 80 nucleotides in length.
Source: Rfam by way of RNAcentral
GAGGGUAUGGCUCAGUGGUGGAGCGCUUGCUUAACAUGCAUGAGGUCCUGGGUUCAAUCCCCAGGACCACCA